UGAAGCAAAUGCUAUUAGGCAGUGUCGU
This 28-nucleotide non-coding RNA is filed under the name Mus musculus (house mouse). Lineage: Eukaryota; Metazoa; Chordata; Mammalia; Rodentia; Muridae. The record is from RNAcentral.